UGCCAGCCGCCGCGGUAAUACGGAGGGUGCAAGCGUUGUUCGGAAUUAUUGGGCGUAAAGCGCGUGUAGGCGGUUCGUUAAGUCUGAUGUGAAAGCCCGGGGCUCAACCCCGGAAGUGCAUUGGAAACUGGCGAACUUGAGUACGGGAGAGGAAAGUGGAAUUCCGAGUGUAGGGGUGAAAUCCGUAGAUAUCAGGAAGAACACCCGUGGCGAAGGCGGUUAGCUGGGCCGAAUCUGACACUCAUCCGCGAAAGCGUGGGGAGCAAACAGGAUUAGAUA
RNAcentral lists this ribosomal RNA (279 nucleotides) under uncultured bacterium. Its description in RNAcentral is "partial 16S ribosomal RNA". It matches the Rfam family "Bacterial small subunit ribosomal RNA", at positions 506 to 784 of the family's 1533-position model. The record is from RNAcentral.